GACGAACGCUGGCGGCGUGCUUAACACAUGCAAGUCGAACGGAAAGGCCCUGCUUUUGUGGGGUGCUCGAGUGGCGAACGGGUGAGUAACACGUGAGUAACCUGCCCUUGACUUUGGGAUAACUUCAGGAAACUGGGGCUAAUACCGGAUAGGAGCUCCUGCUGCAUGGUGGGGGUUGGAAAGUUUCGGCGGUUGGGGAUGGACUCGCGGCUUAUCAGCUUGUUGGUGGGGUAGUGGCUUACCAAGGCUUUGACGGGUAGCCGGCCUGAGAGGGUUACCGGCCACAUUGGGACUGAGAUACGGACCAGACUCCUACGGGAGGCAGCAGUGGGGAAUAUUGCACAAUGGGCGGAAGCCUGAUGCAGCAACGCCGCGUGCGGGAUGACGGCCUUCGGGGUGUAAACCGCUUUCGCCUGUGACGAAGCGUGAGUGACGGUAAUGGGUAAAGAAGCACCGGCUAACUACGUG
This 468-nucleotide ribosomal RNA is filed under the name uncultured bacterium. Its description in RNAcentral is "partial 16S ribosomal RNA". It matches the Rfam family "Bacterial small subunit ribosomal RNA", at positions 28 to 507 of the family's 1533-position model. The record is from RNAcentral.